This 468-nucleotide ribosomal RNA is filed under the name uncultured bacterium. RNAcentral's name for it is "partial 16S ribosomal RNA". It matches the Rfam family "Bacterial small subunit ribosomal RNA", at positions 28 to 507 of the family's 1533-position model. The record is from RNAcentral.
GACGAACGCUGGCGGCGUGCUUAACACAUGCAAGUCGAACGAAAAGGCCCUGCUUUUGUUGGGUGCUCGAGUGGCGAACGGGUGUGUAACACGUGAGUAACCUGCCCUUGACUUUGGGAUAACUUCAGGAAACUGGGGCUAAUACCGGAUAGGAGCACCUGCUGCAUGGUGGGGGUUGGAAAGUGUCGGCGGUGGGGGAUGGACUCGCGGCUUAUCAGCUUGUUGGUGUGGUAGUGGCUUAGCAAGGCUUGGACGGGAAGAGGGCCUGGGAGGGUAACCGGCCACAUUGGAAUGGAGAUGCGGCCCAGACUCCUACGGGAGGCGGCGGUGCGGUAUAGUACACAGUAGGCGGAAGCCUGAUGCAGCAAAGCCGCGUGCGGGAUGACGGGCAUGGAGUUGUAUAGCGCUUUCGCCUGUGAGGAGGAGUGAGUGACGGUAAUGGGUGAAGAAGCACCGGCUAACUACGUG